GCCAAUGUAAUUAUGUGUAUGUUUUUACUGUAGUCUAAUCUCAGGUCCAGGGGGUGUGCCCCUUGCAUGGGGACCUGCAUAUAAGGCUAGUUGAGGCUGCCAUUAAACAGUUCAUCUUCACCCUCAACACAGAGCCUCGUCUCAUGAUUGUCGGGAACAGCUAUACCAGCUACAAUCACCAGCUCUUGUAAGAGCUACACUGCUAUACCUGCCAUACUGUCUUGGAGAAGAGGUCUUCUCACUGGGAGCUGGAUCUGGGAGUUUGGUCCAGGGUGAGAAGGGACGGCAAG
Molecule: non-coding RNA, 290 nt
Organism: Pelobates cultripes (western spadefoot toad)
Lineage: Eukaryota; Metazoa; Chordata; Amphibia; Anura; Pelobatidae
Source: the annotation of a GenBank genome assembly